UGGGGAAUAUUGGACAAUGGGCGAAAGCCUGAUCCAGCCAUGCCGCGUGUGUGAAGAAGGCCUUAUGGUUGUAAAGCACUUUAAGUGGGGAGGAAAAGCUUAUGGAUAAUACCCAUAGGUUCUGACGUUACCCACAGAAUAAGCACCGGCUAACUCUGUGCCAGCAGCCGCGGUAAUACAGAGGGUGCGAGCGUUAAUCGGAAUUACUGGGCGUAAAGCGAGCGUAGGUGGUUUAUUAAGUCAGAUGUGAAAUCCCUGGGCUUAACCUAGGAACUGCAUCUGAUACUGAUAAACUAGAGUAGGUGAGAGGAAAGUAGAAUUCCAGGUGUAGCGGUGAAAUGCGUAGAUAUCUGGAGGAAUACCGAUGGCGAAGGCAGCUUUCUGGCAUCAUACUGACACUGAGGUUCGAAAGCGUGGGUAGCAAACAGGAUUAGAUACCCUGGUAGUCCACGCCGUAAACGAUGUCUACCAGUCGUUGGGUCUUUUAAAGACUUAGUGACGCAGUUAACGCAAUAAGUAGACCGCCUGGGGAGUACGGCCGCAAGGUU
RNAcentral lists this ribosomal RNA (548 nucleotides) under uncultured bacterium. RNAcentral describes it as "bacterial SSU rRNA". It matches the Rfam family "Bacterial small subunit ribosomal RNA", at positions 355 to 895 of the family's 1533-position model. The record is from RNAcentral.